CAGUCGCCACGGUAAUACGGAGGGUGCAAGCGUUACUCGGAAUCACUGGGCGUAAAGGACGCGUAGGCGGAUUGUCAAGUCUCUUGUGAAAUCUAACGGCUUAACCGUUAAACUGCUUGGGAAACUGAUAAUCUAGAGUAAGGGAGAGGCAGAUGGAAUUCUUGGUGUAGGGGUAAAUCCGUAGAUAUCAAGAAGAAUACCUAUUGCGAAGGCGAUCUGCUGGAACUUAAUUGACGCUAAUGCGUGAAAGCGUGUGGAGCAAACAGGAUUAGAGACCCCCGUAGUCCCUGUCUCUUAUACA
Molecule: ribosomal RNA, 301 nt
Filed under: uncultured bacterium
Lineage: Bacteria
Description: partial 16S ribosomal RNA
Rfam family: Bacterial small subunit ribosomal RNA
Source: RNAcentral